GUGUAAGCUUCGGCAGUACAUUUACUGAAACUGGAAUGGUACAGAAAAGAUUGGCAUGAUCCCUGUACAGGUAUGACACGCGAAUUCAUGAAGCAUUGCAUAUCUUU
Small nuclear RNA from Cercocebus atys (sooty mangabey), 107 nucleotides. The record is from Ensembl. Lineage: Eukaryota; Metazoa; Chordata; Mammalia; Primates; Cercopithecidae.